GAUCCUGGCUCAGGAUGAACGCUGGCGGCGUGCCUAAUACAUGCAAGUCGAACGCUUCUUUCCUCCCGAGUGCUUGCUCUCAAUUGGAAAGAGGAGUGGCGGACGGGUGAGUAACACGUGGGUAACCUACCCAUCAGAGGGGGAUAACACUUGGAAACAGGUGCUAAUACCGCAUAACAGUUUAUGCCGCAUGGCAUAAGAGUGAAAGGCGCUUUCAGGUGUCAUUGAUGGAUGGACCCGCGGUGCAUUAGCUUCUUGGUGAGGUAACUGCUCACCUGGGCCACGAUGCUUACCCGACCUGAUAGGGUGAUCGGCCACACUGGAACUGAAACGCAGGCCACACUCCUACGGGAUGCACCAUUAGGGAAUCUUCGGUAAUGGACUAAAGUCUGACCGAGCAACGCCGCGUGAGUGAAGAACGUUUUCGGAUCGGAAAACUCUGUUGAUAUAGAAGAACAAGGACGUUAGUAUCUGAACGUCACCUGACGGUAUCUAACCACAAAGCCACGGCUAACUACGUGCCAACGGCCGCGGUAAUACUUAGGUGUAAAGCGUUGUCCGGAUUUAUUGGGCGUAUAGUCGAGCGCAAGCUGAUUCUUACGUCUGAUGUGAGAGCCCCCGCGCUCAACCGGGGAGGGUCAUUGUAACCUGGAAGACGUGAGUGCACAAGAUGAAACUGUAAUUCCCUGUGUAGACGGGGAA
This 702-nucleotide ribosomal RNA is filed under the name bacterium. RNAcentral describes it as "bacterial SSU rRNA". It matches the Rfam family "Bacterial small subunit ribosomal RNA", at positions 15 to 686 of the family's 1533-position model. The record is from RNAcentral.